CAGCAGCCGCGGUAAUACGGGGGGGGCAAGUAUUAUUCGGAAUGACUGGGCGUAAAGGGCACGUAGGCGGUGAAAAGGGUGGAAAGUGAAAGUCUCCAAAACACUGGCGGGGUGCUUUCUUGACCAUUUCACUUGAGUGAGAUAGGGGAGAGUGGAAUUUCGUGUGGAGGGAUCAAAUCCUAAGAUAUACGAAGGAACGCCAACCGCGAAGGCAGCUCUCUGGGUCCCCACUGACGCUGGGGUGCGAAAGCAUGGGGAGCAAACAGGAUCAGAUACCCCGGUAGUCCCUGUCUCUUAUACA
RNAcentral lists this ribosomal RNA (301 nucleotides) under uncultured bacterium. Its description in RNAcentral is "partial 16S ribosomal RNA". It matches the Rfam family "Bacterial small subunit ribosomal RNA", at positions 509 to 808 of the family's 1533-position model. The record is from RNAcentral.